GAGAGAGGGAGAGGAGUAGCUUCCAUGGAGGAAUAUAGAUGACAUUCAAAUGAAUUAUGUUUCUUCUAGGUUUAAUACUUAGAAGAUGGCAAUAUCUGUUAACCUCCUGAACCAUCCUUUCUGCUUACUGAAAAAUAUAUCAGAUCAGAGAAAUAUAUUCAAAAGAAGACCAUGUUUGACUCUGAAAACCUGAUAAAUUAAGUAUGUUUCUAAAUGUAGAUUAAAGCACUCGAGGAAGGAGCAGAGGAAGGGAAGAAGACUCCAGAAUACCAUCAUUACCAUCAUCUAAUUUCACAGACCAGGGAAAUAAUAUUGUGACAACGAUUUGCAUAGGGACAGGUUUUGGAGGGAACAAUAGUACCAUUGAGAGGAUUUUAUCUUCCAGAUAUCUCACUGUGAGGACAUGAAUAAGGAGUCCACAUGGUAUAUAGUUGACCCUGGUAAUUUCUGAUUCAUUUAGGAUUUUGGACAAAUCUUGAUCAAAUCUCAGACACUUCUUUUAGGAAUCACAGUUUUGAGAGAAAUACUCUUUAAAGUCAUAGAGGGCUAUUGCAAGAAACUACAUAAGAUAACGUGGCCACAAUGUAGUUGUCAAAAACGGAUUUGUUGUCAUAUUUUAGUUUAAAGGUAAAAAGGUCAGUAGUGGAACGUCAACUAGGCAACAAAAUCUCAGUUUCCCCAUUUGUAAUUCGUAUUUUAAGUGAAAAAUCCC
Oncorhynchus tshawytscha (Chinook salmon) is the source of this 712-nucleotide long non-coding RNA. NCBI's taxonomy places the organism in Eukaryota, Metazoa, Chordata, Actinopteri, Salmoniformes, Salmonidae. The record is from Ensembl.